GAUGAACGCUGGCGGCGUGCCUAAUACAUGCAAGUCGAGCGAACGGACGAGAAGCUUGCUUUUCUGAUGUUAGCGGCGGACGGGUGAGUAACACGUGGAUAACCUACCUAUAAGACUGGGAUAACUUCGGGAAACCGGAGCUAAUACCGGAUAAUAUUUUGAACCGCAUGGUUCAAAAGUGAAAGACGGUCUUGCUGUCACUUAUAGAUGGAUCCGCGCUGCAUUAGCUAGUUGGUAGGGUAACGGCUUACCAAGGCAACGAUGCAUAGCCGACCUGAGAGGGUGAUCGGCCACACUGGAACUGAGACACGGUCCAGACUCCUACGGGAGGCAGCAGUAGGGAACCUUCCGCAAUGGGCGAAAGCCUGACGGAGCAACGCCGCGUGAGUGAUGAAGGUCUUCGGAUCGUAAAACUCUGUUAUUAGGGAAGAACAUAUGUGUAAGUAACUGUGCACAUCUUGACGGUACCUAAUCAGAAAGCCACGGCUAACUACGUG
RNAcentral lists this ribosomal RNA (497 nucleotides) under uncultured bacterium. RNAcentral's name for it is "partial 16S ribosomal RNA". It matches the Rfam family "Bacterial small subunit ribosomal RNA", at positions 28 to 507 of the family's 1533-position model. The record is from RNAcentral.